UCUGUCUCGAUUCUGUUCAAUGAAGCUUUAAGAAAUUUAGCAAAAGAUGACAGGAGAAAAAUAUGAGCCAAAUACUCUUAUGCAUAUUUAUGUUUAUUUAAGAUCUUAUAUAGUUGAGAUAUGUAUGCAUAUUUUUAGGAGUAUAAACAGAGAAAGUGGACAUACUAUAUCUUGAUCCUCCAACAAUGGGUGAUCAUUUCUGAUGGCCAGGAAUAAAGAGGUUAACACACAGCUCUGAUCUCAGUGUGGGCUGGUUUGCCCCACUCUGACUAUAGCCCAUUUGUGUCAUUGGUACAGCCUGGAUGGAUGCAUACAAACUCAGGUGCAUUGCAGCAAGGAUAACACUUAAUUAGUAUGGAUUAUAUGCAUUUAUUUUAUUCUCCUUCCUUUUGUAUACAAUGCUCAAUGCUAGGAGGACCCAACACUUAGCUGUUGUUCCAGGAAGUUCUAUUCUCUUAAUCACUUCAAGAUGGUGGGAUACAUCAAAUUCAGAGCAAAGGUUUUCUCUGUGUGCUCGUGGUUGCACCAUUUUUCUUAGGGCCAGUAGUUUCUAGCCAUUGCCCACAUGAUUCCCAAUGCUCAUGUUGUCAGCAGUAACUGGAUGUGUUAGAACUGCACGGAGUAGAAGGUUCAUG
Molecule: long non-coding RNA, 635 nt
Filed under: Chinchilla lanigera (long-tailed chinchilla)
Lineage: Eukaryota; Metazoa; Chordata; Mammalia; Rodentia; Chinchillidae
Description: lncRNA (ENSCLAG00000028545.1)
Source: RNAcentral